UACCUGCCAACGUACCAGUACUUUCUAUGGAGGUAUUAUAAUAAUUUUGAUCUGUUCUUGAAGAUGGUCUUGUGCAAACAAUUGGUGAGUUUUGUUGUGAAAACAAUAAUAAUAAGUGAAUACUUUAUUAAAGCGAAUAGUAAUAUACAGAUAUAUAAUGUGAUUGGGAUUCCAUUUCAUCACUUGUCACAAGUUGGUCAAUGUAUUUUCAAGCCUUGAAACUUGUUUAACAACAUUUAAAUCUAUUCUUAACAACCUUGUUUCCUGACUUCAUCUGAACUCGAUCAAAAAGUACUAAGAAGUUUCAAAAGCUCAAGAUUGUCAAAAUUGGGCCAGUUUGCAGAAUUCUGAAGUGGGAGGAUGCAACUACUGUAGAUGUGAAAAAAAGGAGGCGAUUGAAUACUUUCUUAAUAACCUUUGUGAAAAGUAUGAGGGAAAAAGGCAUUCGUACUUCUGUUUAUGAUUCAUGGUGAAACUAUUGACGAUUCUCAUUGAUACACUCUUGCAUGGACCCUAUCAAUUUGAGGAUAUUCAUAAUCUGUAAAAACGUUAAAUAUGUGAUAUUCCCAAUGCGAUAAAAAUGAUGGAAUAUUCUUACUUUCCAAGGAGCUGGAGAAAUUGAAUUGUAUAGUUAUUAAGGGAC
Anneissia japonica is the source of this 643-nucleotide long non-coding RNA. RefSeq lists it as uncharacterized. The record is from RefSeq and is a predicted model, not a curated record. Lineage: Eukaryota; Metazoa; Echinodermata; Crinoidea; Comatulida; Comatulidae. The transcript is spliced from 3 exons.